RNAcentral lists this ribosomal RNA (892 nucleotides) under uncultured Myxococcales bacterium. RNAcentral's name for it is "SSU rRNA". It matches the Rfam family "Bacterial small subunit ribosomal RNA", at positions 60 to 935 of the family's 1533-position model. Lineage: Bacteria; Pseudomonadati; Myxococcota; Myxococcia; Myxococcales. The record is from RNAcentral.
ANUCGAGCGGUAACAGGGACAGCUUGCUGUCUGCUGACGAGCGGCGCACGGGUGAGUAACACGUGGGUAAUCUGCCCUAAGGUUCGGGAUAACCAUUCGAAAGUUUGGCUAAUACCGAAUAAGACCACUUAGUGGGAAAAGAUGGGGAUCCUUCGGGACCUGUCNNNAUAGGAUGAGCCCGCGGCCCAUCAGGUAGUUGGUAGGGUAAAGGCCUACCAAGCCUAAGACGGGUAGCUGGUCUGAGAGGAUGAUCAGCCACACUGGAACUGAGACACGGUCCAGACUCCUACGGGAGGCAGCAGUGGGGAAUCUUGNNNAAUGGGCGAAAGCCUGACGCAGCAACGCCGUGUGAGCGAUGAAGGCCCUCGGGUCGUAAAGCUCUGUCGGAAGGAAAGAUGGAUAUUAGGGUUAAUACCCCUAGUUUUUGUUUNGUACCUUCAAAGGAAGCACCGGCUAACUCUGUGCCAGCAGCCGCGGUAAUACAGAGGGUGCAAGCGUUGUUCGGAAUCAUUGGNNGUAAAGCGCGCGUAGGCGGUUUCAUAAGUCUGAUGUGAAAGCCCGGGGCUCAACCUCGGAAGUGCAUCGGAAACUGUGUGACUAGAGUCCUGGAGGGGGUGGUGGAAUUCCUGGUGUAGAGGUGAAAUUCGUAGAUAUCAGGAGGAACACCGGUGGCGAAGGCGACCACCUGGACAGUGACUGACGCUGANGUGCGAAAGCGUNNNUAGCAAACAGGAUUAGAUACCCUGGUAGUCCACGCCGUAAACGAUGGAUACUANGCGCAGCGGGUAUUGACCCCUGCUGUGCCGCAGCUAACGCAUUAAGUAUCCCGCCUGGGAAGUACGGCCGCAAGGUUAAACUCAAAGGAAUUGACGGGGGCCCGCACAAGCGGUGG